UACGUAGGGCGCAAGCGUUGUCCGGAAUUAUUGGGCGUAAAGAGCUCGUAGGUGGUGUGUCGCGUCUGCCGUGAAAGCCCGGGGCUUAACUCCGGGUCUGCGGUGGAUACGGGCAGACUAGAGGCAGGUAGGGGAGAACGGAAUUCCCGGUGUAGCGGUGAAAUGCGCAGAUAUCGGGAGGAACACCAAUGGCGAAGGCAGCUCGCUGGGACGGUACUGACGCUGAGACGCGAAAGCGUGGGGAGCAAACAGG
Molecule: ribosomal RNA, 253 nt
Filed under: uncultured bacterium
Lineage: Bacteria
Description: partial 16S ribosomal RNA
Rfam family: Bacterial small subunit ribosomal RNA
Source: RNAcentral